GCUGCUUCAAACAGAUUUUAAUCCAUAUUUUAGAGACAUUAAAUAUUUAAAAACAAUGGAACUGCAUCACAACUUUUGAUCAUCACAUAGAACAACUUCAUUAUAAAAAGAACCAUAGAAAAGGCCAAAAGAUAGCACUGAUAAAAACAGAAAAAAAACUGUGCAACACAUUUAGAAAUACAAUGCAAUCCGUGUUGGACAGAACUUUUAUUUUGUUCUUUAUGUUUCGUUAUGCCAGUGAUGUGCAUCAGAUUCACAGACAGAUUAGUCAGGCUGGAUCAGAGGCACUGUGCUGCUGCUGUACCACCAGUGUCAGGCUUCAGAUACACAGUCUUAAACUUAUUUGGUUGCCUAACUAACACGUCACAGUUUGGAUUUAAGCAGUUUAACGUCACUGAAUACCACACGUGGCGUACGCUGUAUUCAUGCGGCGGGAAUUCAGCCAUGUGCUUUAUUGCACUAAUCAGGAAGAUGGCGCUAUUCUUCCACCGCAACAAAGAUGAAAGAGAAAAAGGCUAGACGAGCUGAUGACAAUUUUUCACCAAUGAAUCUUGAGCAAUUACACUAUUAUAGUUUAAAAGCUGCUGCCCUUCUCGAGAUUAAUUUGGACAUUAUUAAGAGUCGCGGAGCAGAAACGAGCUUAUUCGAGCAACAGUUUUUCACCGCAGGGAACAGAGCGACUGAAAACCUUAAAGAAACUUCCUGUUAAAUGGGUCGGUUACACUUGGACCGUUUUGAUUUCCCACAUGAUUUAACACUGUUAUGUUCCAGGAAGAAAAGCAAAAUAGCAAUCACAGAAAUGCUACACACAAGGCAGUGAAGGCUUCAUGGUAGAAGGUCACGUGAUCGUAGAAGGAAUAUCAUGGACUAUUUGGAAAUAUGAUCUUGCUUUUUCUUUUUUCCACUUUUCCAAUAUACUGUAAAAUAGAGAACAUGAUACAACUGAAGUGCUGAUUAUUAAUAGAAAUUUUAUUUUAGAAUAGUCAAUAUUUUAUCUAUCCUCGUCAAUAGGCAUUAUAGGAAAUGUUCUCGUUGCUUUUCUUUUCAGGACACUACUUUCAUGCCAGAUGUUUAAUAUGGGCUCAGAACCAUAAGCUCAUUAGCCUAGCCUAGCCUAGCUAAAAUGUUAAAAGUGGGCUUAAUCUUCUAAAAUGGGCUAACGAUACAGCCACUUAGAACUGCUGGACAGAGACUCUGCCCUCUCUCUUCUGGGGUGUCUCUACUUUCCACUAUGAAUACACUAAUUUUAACUCAAUUGCAGAGUGUCUCCAAGAGAUGGCGCGUUCUUUACUUCUAUAUUUUUCAAAUAUUUUGCCAUCAACAGAAAGCGGCUAAGUAUCGUACUGCAGAGAUAUUAUCUGAAAUCGCAGCAUGUUUGUGGCCGCCCAUGUUUUUAAGGGCUCUGGUUCCAGAAAUGACUUUCCCACUUCCACAAAUUCAAGCCUUGAACAAAAGGCUUGAAUGUUUAUUCAAGCUUUGAACCAAGCAACACAGAUAUGAAGUGAAUCAUGACUAUGCAGAAGUAGCAGACUGUGUACAUAAAUACUUUUAUUGGUGAACUACCCAUCCCAUAACACAAGGCAGGCGACUUUAAGGCCCCUCAAAUGUAAUCCUUUUCUUUUAGUGUUGUAUAAUAUUAAUUGUGAAUAUUAUGUUGUAGUUUAUGUUGUAUGUCGCUGUUAAGAUUCUGGUGUAGUACCAUUCUGAACCACAAGAUGGUGCAGAAUGUCAGUAUUCGUAUAUGACUUAGAAAUUGUACCAAGAUAUUAAUUUAUUGUAUUUUUCGGACCAUAAGGCGCACCGGUUUAUAAGGCGCAUUAAGCGAAACAAAACAGUCAGAUAUGUCAAACUUUACUCAACUCAUUCUUUUGCUUCCUCCACUUCUGUACCAUUGAUUCAUUAAUGUCGAAUUCUCUGGCAGCUGCUCUAUUCCCAUGUUGUUGCAGUAUAUUAAUGACUAACCUCGCAUUGCGGAGGGAUUAUCUCAGUUGUUCUGACUGAAGUUUGGUCCGUUUACAGCAUCCUACCAUGCGAUCGCAUUUGUCCCUAACCAUCGGGAACCCUCAUGUUAACUUUUAUCCAGUGGAAAAAUAAGUUAGCAUUAUGCUAACAUAGCACAUCAUUAUAUACCAGCUAGCCCAACUCCAGUAACCUUACAAACGUCACUGCUGUUUAGUUUUCUGUCUUCAUUUAUGUUGGAAGUGAUAGCAGAGCUGUAUGUAUUCGUUUUAGAGGCGCAGUUUUUGACUUUGAAUAGAGAUAGGGAUGUAGUUUUCCACUGCUUUCUAGCUUAAUGCCAAGCUAGGCUAACUUACACUGACGUGAGAGUGGUGCUGAUGUAUUCAUCACUUUGUAAGGCAAAUCAGAACAUUUCCAGAAAUGCCAACUUUUCUUUACUAAAGAACAGUCAGAGAGAUGCUUGUUGGUUAUCUCUUGAUUAUCGAUCAUAUUUCUUGUUUUUGUGAAGAGCAUAUUAACGUCUCCUUCCACUAACCUCAACAAAUUCUUAUUUAUUGGAUAAUUCUUAUUUGUAACACUGCUGCAUGACUCUGACAGUAGAACGAAUGAGGACGA
Astatotilapia calliptera (eastern happy) is the source of this 2574-nucleotide long non-coding RNA. NCBI's taxonomy places the organism in Eukaryota, Metazoa, Chordata, Actinopteri, Cichliformes, Cichlidae. The record is from Ensembl.